AGCGAACGUUAGCGGCGCGCCUAACACAUGCAAGUCGCACGAGAAACGGAGCAAUCCGCGGUACAGUGGCGCACGGGUGAGUAACACGUGGAUGACCUUCCCUGGAGUGGUGGAUAACCUGCCGAAAGGCGGGCUAAUACAGCAUGGGACCACGACGCUUUGGCGAUGUGGUGAAAGCGGGCCUCUAUAUAUAAGCUCGCGCUCCGGGACGGGUCCGCGUCCCAUCAGCUAGUUGGUGAGGUAACGGCUCACCAAGGCUUCGACGGGUAGCUGGUCUGAGAGGAUGGCCAGCCACACUGGAACUGAGACACGGUCCAGACUCCUACGGGAGGCAGCAGUGGGGAAUCUUGCGCAAUGGGCGAAAGCCUGACGCAGCGACGCCGCGUGGGCG
This 391-nucleotide ribosomal RNA is filed under the name uncultured bacterium. Its description in RNAcentral is "bacterial SSU rRNA". It matches the Rfam family "Bacterial small subunit ribosomal RNA", at positions 28 to 407 of the family's 1533-position model. The record is from RNAcentral.